AAUCCGAGUUACGGAUCUUCCGGAAUUGGAAUUGUAAGUCCAUAAUAUAAAAUGUUAACCGUCACUUAGUUUUGGAAAUUGACGGAGAUCCGACCGUUGGAUGGUAAUGAAAUUUAGGAUGUUGUCCUAGAGGUAUAAUGUGGACCUCUGGAAGUUAUGGAUUUAAAAUCUGAGUGGCAGAUCUUCCGGAUCGAUCAACGUAGUGACGUAUUUUAUAUAAGUUAUAUAUUCUAUCGAUAUGAAUUCUGAGGUUGGAUUUGAUUACUAUUCUAGGCGCGAUCGUCGUGACGCCUUGAUGUGGUGUAGGGAGUUGUUGGGCGAACUCCAGGUGAGUGGGCAGUUUUGUUUUCCGUAUAUAUAUAUAUAUAUAUACUUGACGUUUCCCAGAAAUUGAAAAUGCAUGAAAUUAUGCUUUAAAUGAAAAUGCAUAAAAGUAUAUGAAAAGUAUAUAGAAAUGUGAGUUGAAAUGCCAUGCAUGAAUUAAUAUAUGAUGCAUAUGUAUGAAUUGGUGCGGUGGACGCACAGGUAAGAAUUGAUUUAUUGAUGCAUAUGUAUGAAUUGGUGCGGUGGACGCACAGGUAAGAAUGAUUUAUGAUGUGAUAUGUAUGAUAUGAUGAAUGGUGCGGUGGACGCACAGAUGAGUAUUUAAUUACUGUUAUGAUGAUGAUGAUAUAUAUAUUGAGCUCAAUCCUGCACCAUGGUUUAGUGCUUAUAGUAUCACCGCAUCGCACGCUCGCCUUGGAUCCAAGUAGAUGCUAGUCGUACAGUCCACGCGGAGUGGGUACGACAGGCCAGUCGCGAGAGUGUUAGUGAGAUUCCGACUGGUGGGUGACCUUAGAUUAUGUGCACAGAUGAUUUAUGAGAAGCACUAGAGCGUAACUUGUGUGCAGAAGGCCGGACGGGUCACAGAGGUGACUCCGGUAGAGUGAUAAUGAUAGAUUUUGAGCUCUAGGUUCAACCGUACAGGGCUAUUGGAGGGCCUCCGGUUGAUUACUUUCUUGCACCUGAUAUGAUUAUUGUUGAUGCAUCCAUACUUAACUGUUGAAUUAGACAUGGCAUGGCAUGAUUGAUAAAGAAAAAAUGUUGAGUUAAUGAAUUAAAGUAUUGAGAAUAUAUAUGUAUAUUUAUAUUUUACAUUUCUGGGAAAAUAUACAGGUUUUACGGAGAGGGGUUACAACGUUUUGAAAAAUGUUUGGAUUUGGAAAAGAAUUGUUUUACUGACCCACUCAAUUUUGGUUUUGCGCCCCUCCAGGUUCAGGAAUCACAAAGGUGUGGUGACUACGAGGAAUACGGCGGGGUUCUGACAGAUUGGACAAAAUUAGGACUCACCUUCGGUGUAUCAACUUAUAAAUUGUAUCUUAAAGCUUCCGUACUGUGCAAAUGGUUACGUCACUCUCACGUGACGGCCAGCAUGCCCUCCUUCGGGACGGGGGUGUGUCAGUUGGUAUCAGAGCAUGGUUGCAAUCUUGGACAUCUUGAGAAGUUUCUAGUGAAUCUGUCAGAACUACACCGCCUCGUAGCAAACCACGUAGUUAGAGGAAUUUAGUUCUCCCUAAAUAUAGCGGUUUAGGGGAAACUAUUACAAUGGUGAUUCAGUAUAUUAUCAAAAGGGACAUUUUAAGACGGAUUAUGAGUCGAAUUUGAAUCACCUUAUGAAAUGAUGAACCUGAGGGAGCGAAGUAACGGUUUAACCAUUUGGAAAAGAUGUUUCGGAUUAUGCAAGUCAAAGGAAUCUUCCUUCUGACAAGGGUCGAGAUGACUACCUGGUUUGAGUUAUGAACGUGUAUCCUGAUGGAAGCAGGAGUAUUAAUUGUUGUCACCGGAGGAACAGCCGAUUUAAAAUUGUUUAAGGACUUGUUUAAGGAAAAGUUUAUCCCUCCGGCAUUUAUCGAUGGUAGUAAACAAGAGUUUACAAAUAUGAGACAAGGAAGGUGAUGAUCGAGGAUAUUAUAGAAAGUUUUCAGACUUGCCUUGUUCCAUCCAGAUAUUGUUGUUAUUGGUGGAGGUGUUAUGUUGUUUUAAGCUGGGUGGCAAAAAGGGAAGUGGUAUUUGGGUGACCACUAUCCAUUAUACUUCUUACCAGGAAUAUACGAGAUGCUGUUGAGUCUUGAGGACUCUGAGAACAUGAUCAACGAGAAUAAAGAAGAAUAAGAAAUGAAUGGGAAUUAAAAGAAGACGAUAAAGUUAAUGAUUCGUCAUAUCAAGGAGAUAGAAAGAUUCAGAGCUUCGAAAGAAGUGAAGCUAGAGUUAAUUCUUCCAGCUGAGGUUUUAAUGUCGCUGGUCAGAGUAAAAGUGAUGGAUAUACUGGUAAUCCCAGAUAUUUGAGACAAGGUGUCUCGAGUAAAGGAAAUGUACUUUGUGCAGCAGGUACAAAAUUAACACUUUGGGAAGUGUGAAAUUAAUGAAUGUGUUUAUGUGAACAGAGGGGACACAGAAUUGUGAAUCGUCCCUAUAAUCAGUUGUACCCAACAGUUUUCUAUGACAUCAUAGUGUUGAUUCAGCAGAGUUAUGGAUUUAGUAGUUUGGUCGGAUUGACCGUGAGUACAGAGAGAUUUGAUGAGUUAUAUGUUCAGCCGUACAGACCAUGAGAAGUGGAUUCGAUUGACACAUGAGAAAUUGGUGAGUUAUAGGCUCGGCCGUACCGACCACGCGGAGUGGAUCCGGCCGACGUAUUAUUGAGAUAAUUGUUGAAUCAGCCGUACAGGUCAUUCUAGUUGACUUCGACUGAUAUAUUUCUUAUUAUGUAUGUUAUUACCUAGAGAGUAGUAAAUAAAUGUAGUUGAGACGAGUAUAUGUAUUUUACAUUGAGUGACAAAAUAGUAAUGUUAUAUCUUUGAGAGUGGUUGCCUACUUAUCGAGACAACGAUGAUUUAUCAGUAUUGCGGGCUGCAGACCGUAAUAUUAAUAACUCAUUCGUGGAUUCGUUAAGCAAGCAAACCGGUAGGUUAUUUUAUGCUAGUGUUGUACUUACUUAGAAUGUUCAGUAAUAAUAGAAUAUAUAUUGUAUCAAUUAAUUUUAUUCCAUUAGAGUGAUUGUUUAUAGUUGUGACUAGAUGGAAUGUUACGGGAAACCAGUUACUUUCCAUCGAGUUGAUUAAUUAGAGGUUACUUUGGUGGGUAUACAAAGUGAAGUGAGUUCAGCCAUUAUUUAUGCUGUGAAAGCAAAGAGAUUGUUUUGAAAGGCUGCCCAAAAAUACUUAGCUCAUGUGGUGCUAAAUGAUGUUGUUUGGAGAAGUGUGAAAAAUGAAAAAGGGGUUAGACUUUCUUGAUGUCUUCCUUGAAAGUAUACCUGGAUUGCCUUCAGGCAGAGAUAUGAGGUUCACUAUUGAUUUGUUGCCAGGUAUAAAUUUAUGUUAAAGAUUGGUUCAUGAUGAGUUAAGGGAAAUGGAAAUUUAGUUGAAAGAAUUGGUUGAUAAAAGUUUUAUUCAACCUAGUACAACGCUUUGGGGGAGCCCCAGUUUGUUGGUGAGGAAGAAAAUGGACUUAGAGAUUGUUCAUUGAUUAUAGACAAUGGAGUCGGGUAACGAUUAAGAACCGUUAUCCAUGGUAAUGUACUGAUGUUUAUUUAACCAGCUCAGAAGUAAUUGCGAAGAUUCAAAGAUUGAAUUGAGAUCUGGUUACUACCAAUUGAAUAUUAUAAGUGACGUUGAUCAUAAGAUGGUUUUCUGGACUUGUUAUGGUCCUUAUGAAGUUUGGUGAUGCUAUGUGGAUACUCAUGCUGUUUUAUGAGUUGAUGGAUGAAGUAUUCCAAUAAUGCCUUGAUAGAUUGAUAUCAUUUUUAUUGAAGAUAUUCUGGCAUAUUCUGAGCCAGAGCAGAGCAUUGUAAACGUAUUAAGUCGGUGAACCAAAAUUUGAGAGAACGUUGGUUGUAUGCUAAGUUAGCAAAUGCUAAAGUUAGACGAAUCAGGUGGCAUUCUGAGAUUUGUUAUAUAUUCUUAAGGUAUUCAAGUGAAUCCUUAAAAGAUAGCAGAAAUUGAGAAAUUGGAACAACCACGAGCGUAAUUGUAAUUGAGAUUCAGAAUUUCUUAGCUUACCAGGCUAUCUUGGAUGGUUGUGAAAGAUUUUUCAGUCAUUGCUUUGUCAUUGACGAGACUGUCGAGAAAAGAGGUUAUGUAUGAGUGGGAAGGAAAUUGUGAGCAAAGGAUUCAACAACUGAAGUAUUUCCUCACUCAUGCACGUAUUUUGGUAUUCCCAGAGAAUAGUGGUAAUCAUAAAUUUUUAGUGAUGUUUCUUGAAUGGUAUUGGAUGCAUGUUGAUGCAAAUGUUAGGGUGAUUGCAUACGUUUCACGAUAAAUGGAAUCUCAUAAGAUGAAUUACCCUACGGGUGACUUAGAAAUCAUGAUUACCAUUCUUGCUGUGAAGUUAUGAAGGCAUUAUAUUUGGUAAGAAUGCAAGAUUUUUACGAAUCCAAAAAGUCUUCAAUAUCCAUUACUUGGAAGGAUUUUGAUAUGAGGCAGCGAAAGUGAAUUGUAUUGCUUAAUGAACAUGAUUGUACGAUCAGGAUGAUCGUAAAGUUUGUUCUAACUGAAGCACUUGGUGAGAAGACUACAGUAAGAUUAAUGUCUGGCACGUUUGCCAAGAGUAUCAUCUUGUGGAUUGAAAACCAACGGAAGAAAAAUUAAGAAUGGAAGAUCGAGAAGAAGUUAUACUUGUUAAAUUUCAAGUUAGGCCUGUUGGUAAGGUCGUACUUGAAACUUAAAUGCUUGACGAAGAAAUUUAAGAAUUAACCAAGGUAGAGAAAGAAGGUAAGUUAAAUCCUAAGUUAAUCGGACUUAAGUGAUUAUCGAAAAGUUGGUGAAGUUGCUUACAAGCUUGUGAUGCCCUCAGAAUUGGUUAAGGUGCAAAACAUAUUUUAUGAUUCGAUGCGUUGUCACUAGGUGGCAGAUUCGUCACAUGAGAUUCUGGUGUAACUAUUGAGAAUUAAAUUGGAUUCGACUUGAUAAGAAUCAAGGACGACUUUGGAUUGGAAAAAGAAGUCCUGAGAAUUAAGACAGAGUAAGUAGUAAAAGCUUUGUGAAGGAAAUCAUUCAGUAGAAAAGUAUGUGGGAGAAAGAGAAUCGGAUGAGAAAGAUUUACCCGAAGCUAUUGUUGGAGUAGGUUGAUUUAGUUGGUUGCUGGAAUUUCGGGGACGAAAUUCUAUAAGGAGGGAAGAUUGUCACAGCCCGUCCCGGAAUUUUAUUCCGAGGACUGAAAAAGACGAAAAUGCCCUUAAACGGGACUAAGGGCGAAAUUUAAACAAUUGGAUUGAGUUGGACACGUGGGAUCCCCACACCCCCCUCAAUCCUCUCCCUAUUUUCUGCAUACUGUCUCUCUCUUCCUCCCUCACGAAUCUCUCUCUCUGUCACUCUUCUUUCUCCGUUCGAACAAACCAACCACAAAAAACCUUAAACUUCCACCAACGACGGAGUUAAGACCCCAUCGAACUCCUGAGACUCCCACGAUCACGUAGACACCAAUUUCAGGUAAGUUUACUUCGGAAAACCUAGAUUCUAAACUCCGUGAAAGUGCACUGUUCAUAUCUUCGAAUUGACUUUGUUUUAGGACAUCCAAGCUCACAGUGAGCUUAGUGAGGUUCCAAGGAGCUCGGAGUGCUUCGUUGGAAGUUUGGGACGUAAGAACACGGAGAUCGAUAAGUUCAAAGUUUGGCCGGGCUUUCGAGGCAUUUUCCGGCGAAUCCCCGGCGAGUUAGGCGUCGAGUAGGUAUCAAUCUCUUCGUCUCGUCAAGUACUACAACUUCCUUUUUGUUUCACUCAAUUUCGUGAGUAUUGAAGAAGUUAUACUCAUUUGAAAAUACCCAGUUUCCGGCGGACCUCCGAGGCUCGAGCAGUUUCCGGCCAAACUACGGCGAACUAUGUUUGGAAAGGUACCAUUCUCUUUGUCUCUUCAAGGGCUACAACUUUCGUUUUUGAAUCACUUGAUUUCGUUGAGAAAUGACAAAGUUAUGGCAAUUUGAAAAAACUGCCCAGAAAACGGCCGCCGGAAAAAACCAGUCCGGCGACCCAAGGAAGAAGAAGGUGCUACAGUAAAAAUAAAAAAUAAAAUAAUAAAUUAUUUUAAAAAUAUGUCGACGUCCGUGACGUCGAGUAGAUCACUGUGGUAUAUUCAUAUACCUAAAUUGAACACCGUAUGAGAAAGUUAUUGAAGAUUGUUGGUUAGGUGUUCAAAUAACGUUUUAUAGUUUUCACAUUUAGGUGAAAAUGUGAAUUGAUGAUCCGACCGUUGGAUCGUCACCAAACUUUGAUACGUUUAAUACGUAAUAUUUUGAGGAUUAUUGGAACUUACGGAUUGGGGAAUCCGAGUUACGGAUCUUCCGGAAUUGGAAUUGUAAGUCCAUAAUAUAAAAUGUUAACCGUCACUUAGUUUUGGAAAUUGACGGAGAUCCGACCGUUGGAUGGUAAUGAAAUUUUAGGAUGUUGUCCUAGAGGUAUAAUGUGGACCUCUGGAAGUUAUGGAUUUAAAAUCUGAGUGGCAGAUCUUCCGGAUCGAUCAACGUAGUGACGUAUUUUAUAUAAGUUAUAUAUUCUAUCGAUAUGAAUUCUGAGGUUGGAUUUGAUUACUAUUCUAGGCGGCGAUCGUCGUGACGCCUUGAUGUGUGGUGCUAGGGAGUUGUUGGGCGAACUCCAGGUGAGUGGGCAGUUUUGUUUUCCGUAUAUAUAUAUAUAUAUAUACUUGACGUUUCCCAGAAAUUGAAAAUGCAUGAAAUUAUGCUUUAAAUGAAAAUGCAUAAAAGUAUAUGAAAAGUAUAUAGAAAUGUGAGUUGAAAUGCCAUGCAUGAAUUAAUAUAUGAUGCAUAUGUAUGAAUUGGUGCGGUGGACGCACAGGUAAGAAUUGAUUUAUGAUGCAUAUGUAUGAAUUGGUGCGGUGGACGCACAGGUAAGAAUUGAUUUAUGAUGCAUAUGUAUGAAUUGGUGCGGUGGACGCACAGGUAAGAAUUGAUUUAUGAUGCAUAUGUAUGAAAUGGUGCGGUGGACGCACAGAUGAGUAUUUAAUUACUGUUAUGAUGAUGAUGAUAUAUAUAUUGAGCUCAAAUCCUGCACCAUGGUUUAGUGCUUAUAGUAUUCACCGCAUCGCACGCUCGCCUUGGAUCCAAGUAGAUGCUAGUCGUACAGUCCACGCGGAGUGGGUACGACAGGCCAGUCGCGAGAGUGUUAGUGAGAUUCCGACUGGGGGUGACCUUAGAUUAUGUGCACAGAUGAUUUAUGAGAAGCACUAGAGCGUAACUUGUGUGCAGAAGGCCGGACGGGUCACAGAGGUGACUCCGGUAGAGUGAUAAUGAUAGAUUUUGAGCUCUAGGUUCAACCGUACAGGGCUAUUGGAGGGCCUCCGGUUGAUUACUUUCUUGCACCUGAUAUGAUUAUUGUUGAUGCAUCCAUACUUAACUGUUGAAUUAGACAUGGCAUGGCAUGAUUGAUAAAGAAAAAAUGUUGAGUUAAUGAAUUAAAGUAUUGAGAAUAUAUAUGUAUAUUUAUAUUUUACAUUUCUGGGAAAAUAUACAGGUUUUACGGAGAGGGGUUACAACGUUUUGAAAAAUGUUUGGAUUUGGAAAAGAAUUGUUUUACUGACCCACUCAAUUUUGGUUUUGCGCCCCUCCAGGUUCAGGAAUCACAAAGGUGUGGUGACUACGAGGAAUACGGCGGGGUUCUGACAGAUUGGACAAAAUUAGGACUCACCUUCGGGUGUAUCAACUUAUAAAUUGUAUCUUAAAGCUUCCGUACUGUGCAAAUGGUUACGUCACUCUCA
Molecule: long non-coding RNA, 7740 nt
Filed under: Malus domestica (apple)
Lineage: Eukaryota; Viridiplantae; Streptophyta; Magnoliopsida; Rosales; Rosaceae
Description: long non-coding RNA (MDOM_LNC010528)
Source: RNAcentral